Molecule: ribosomal RNA, 439 nt
Filed under: uncultured bacterium
Lineage: Bacteria
Description: partial 16S ribosomal RNA
Rfam family: Bacterial small subunit ribosomal RNA
Source: RNAcentral
CCUACGGGUGGCAGCAGUGGGGAAUAUUGCACAAUGGGGGGAACCCUGAUGCAGCAAUGCCGCGUGGGUGAAGAAGCACUCCGGUGCGUAAAGCCCUGUCAGCAGGGAAGAAAAUGACAGUACCUGGACAAGAAGCCCCGGCUAACUACGUGCCAGCAGCCGCGGUAAUACGUAGGGGGCAAGCGUUAUCCGGAUUUAUUGGGUUUAAAGGGUGCGCAGGCGGCCUGUUAAGUCAGCGGUAAAAGCCCGGGGCUCAACCCCGGCGAGCCGUUGAAACUGGCGGGCUGGAGUUGGAGAGAAGUACGCGGAAUGCGCGGUGUAGCGGUGAAAUGCUUAGAUAUCGCGCAGAACCCCGAUUGCGAAGGCAGCGUACCGGCUCCACACUGACGCUGAGGCACGAAAGCGUGGGUAUCGAACAGGAUUAGAUACCCCGGUAGUC